Molecule: unclassified non-coding RNA, 921 nt
Filed under: Hevea brasiliensis (rubber tree)
Lineage: Eukaryota; Viridiplantae; Streptophyta; Magnoliopsida; Malpighiales; Euphorbiaceae
Source: RNAcentral
AAGAGAAUGGUGGUUACGGAUGAGACCUUGGAGCUCAUUGCUAAGUCCUUUAAGAAUUUCAAGGUUUUGGUGCUUACUUCGUGUGAGGGUUUCCCUACUGAUGGACUUGCCGCCAUUGGCAGCAAUUGUAAGCUUUGAUUUUUACUCUUUUCCAUUCUUGAUUCAUUUCUUAAACUUAAGUCUUGAUUGUUGGGUUGCAUAUGGUUGAUGAAGAAUUAAUGUAGAAUAUAUGACAUUUUGGUUGUGGAUGGUGGUCUGGUUUUGCAAUUAAUCACAUUGUUCUGUUUAAUUGGGUAAAAUACUCUUGCUGUAGCUUUUUAUGUCCUGCUUUUAAUGCCUAAUGUAACAUGGAAUUUUUGCUAUUUUUCUUAAAACCAUUGAGCCAACAAUGUUUAAGGUCAUAGAUUUAUUGGCAAGUUGGAUAUCAAUGGUUACUUUGGUGGGACUGUCCUUAAGGCAUUAGUGAAAUGUUAAUUCUUUAAGUUCCAAGCUCAUCAAAUGGAAAAUAAGUGAGAAAGGGUUGAGACAUGGUGCUUUAAAGGGAAGGCGAUGCAGGUUGUGGGAUGUAGUCCAUUACUGAUUGGUUGGACAAAGCUCAAUUCUAAUGGGGUUUUCAAAGGAAGUCCUUAUGUGCUUGGGGAGGCACCUGGAACCAUUACUUUGAGCCAAAUUGAAUCCGUAGCAAAGAAAUCACUUAGAAUUGUACUAUUUAUAUUCUGCAUGUAACAUUCUAGUAUUUGACUAUAUUAUUCAUUUAUUUAAAAUUCUACAUGCCUUAAAGAAAAUGAAUUAAAAAACUUAAAAAUUCAUAUUUGACUAUAGUAUUCCAUAGAAUUAAAUUUUUGCUAGCACUUGAAAAUAGUAAAUUUUAUUUCAAAUAAAAUUAAAUAGUAAAUUAUGAAAAAAAAUAUAUUUACUAAA